CCAUAUCACAUACUCUAAUAUUUAAACUCCUAUACAUGCCAUAGGCUCAAAGUACUUGACAUCACUACACCAAUAGCGUUAGCUUGACAGUGUGAUAAUAUCUCUGACGGGCUCCAACCCGAGCUAACCUGGAAACUCUAGAAAACAUGGGAAAGAAGAGGGGGCUAAGCUUUCGCUUAAUAAGUUCAUAUGAAAACAAUAAGCACUCAUUAACUUGUUUUAUCAAUGUUUACAACAUAUUCUCAAGUUCACUACAAGCUGUCUUUCUGAGCAACGGUCACUAAAUUAUUUAUAUCUAGAGCUAUGAAACUUCGAAUUAAGUUCCAUUAAUUUUCCCUGAAACUAGACUUAUUUUCCUUCUUCCAUAAAAUUUUUAGAAUUUUUGGUUAAGCCAAAUAGUACAGUUUAUUCCUCAAAGUUACCCCUAAUUCACUGUCUGACAGUUCCGACCCUUCUGUACUAAAGUUCAAUUAUCUCAUAGUACAAGACUCGAAUAAUGUUCUCGUCUAUUUCUAUUGAAACUAGACUCAUAUGUAUACUUACUAAUUUUUUUCUACAAUUUUUGGUUGGGACAAUUAGUACAGUUUAUUAGUUAAAGUCUCCCCUGUUUCAGGGUAUGACCACUCUGACCCCUGUGCACUACAAACCGAAUUUCUCCCUGUACAAAAUUCCAACGACCAUGGAGUUUAUUUCCCAUAAAAAUAGACUAAAUAAGGAAUCCAUGCAUGUAAGGUAUGACUCUUAAUAAUUUUGUACAAUUUUUGGUGAAUUUCUAAAGUCAGAACAGGGGAUCUCGAAUUUAUUCAGACCCUGUUUUACAAGAAUUCAAAUAUCACACAAUAUGUAAUCUUUUUCUUCCCCUGUUUCUUUCAUGUGAAAAUAGACUCAUUAAGCUUUAAUCCCAUAUUUUAUUCUGCCUCUAACUCAUUUUCCACUAUUUUUAGUAUAUUUUUAAAGUUACACUACUGCAGUAACUCAAAUCUGUCAAGGCUAAAUUACUCAUUCAUGAUCAUUGUUCACAAAAUUAAUACAACAUCGUUUGUAUAAUCAUCACCGAGACAUUCAUAUCAUAUUUUCAUUUAUCAUCUUACCAUAUUGUUGUUAUGUCGAGUUUUCAACCCGAGGGUUAAGUACAUACCUGUUCAAAGUAUCCAUUUCACAACAUUUACCAAUACGUCCCUUUCAUCUCGAGUAUUCCUCCAUUUGAGUAGAAUUUUACCCGUUGAACACAUCGGAAUAUAAUUCGGAUACAUGGAAAGUUUGCACAUAAGUGCCAUAUAUGUAGCCAAGCUACCAUGUAACCCGCCCAUAAGUGAACUCGGACUCAACUCAACGAGCUCGGGCGUUCGCAUCCAUAAGUGAACUCGGACUCAACUCAACGAGCUCGGAUGCCUAGUUACAUCUCACGAACUCGGACUCAACUCAACGAGUUCGAACAUUCGCAUCCAUAAGUGAACUCGAACUCAACUCAACGAGUUCGGAUGCUCAACCAUCCUAGUGACAUGUCACUUGUAUCCUAAUCUAUUCCUAAGGUUCAAACGGGAUUUUUCUCGAACACAUCUCCUUGCCAUCUUCCGUAAAAUACCAAAACCAAUAUUCGGUAGCACUUUAUAUUUAACAGAUAAUACACAUAACUUGAAUUUUAUUCGAAAAUAACCACAAAGCAUAUAUUUCAUGAUAAAAAUCAGCAUAUCAUAUAUUUAACAUCAAUAACUUAAAAAUAAUAAUUAUGCUACAUUAUUUACACAUGAAAUUACCUCGAUACCACAAAGGUGAAAAAAAGACGUAAUUAUCUCUUAAUCGAUUUCUUUCCGUUCUAGGUCCAAAUCUCGAUUUUCAUCAUCUAAAAUAUCACAUUCAACUUAUUAAAACAAUGUACUGAUCAAAUUAGUCAAUUGACACACUUGGGCAAUUUUUACAAUUUUGCCCCUAUAUUUUGCCAAAAUUACUAAAUUACCCCUAGGCUCGUAAAAUAAUUUUUAUCACAUUUCUUUACUCCUUGAGUCUAGAUGAAUCAUUUUCAUAACUAUACCAACUCAUAAUUUCAACUAUUUCACACAUUUACAACUCAUUUUACAACUUAGCAAUCUAGCCCUUUUUAAGGUGUUUUCAUGCAAUUUCUUUCACAAAAGUUGUUUAUUAGACAAUUAGGACUCAUAAUCUUCCAUAAAAACACAGCAAACAACACAUUUACUCUCAUGUAAAAACCCUAGACUCUUCAUCAUUUUGCAAAAUAGACCCCUCAUAUGAAAGCUCAUGCUUUAGGGGUUCCAAAAAUGUAAAAAUCAUCAAGCAAAGACAUUAAAAUCACUUACAAGCAAGGGAAAUAUGUUGCUGAAAUUUUCCAGCUUCAAAGCCAUUUCUUUGCUGCAUAUUUCGG
This 2380-nucleotide long non-coding RNA is filed under the name Gossypium barbadense (sea-island cotton). RNAcentral describes it as "long non-coding RNA (GBAR_LNC006360)". Lineage: Eukaryota; Viridiplantae; Streptophyta; Magnoliopsida; Malvales; Malvaceae. The record is from RNAcentral.